Molecule: transfer RNA, 71 nt
Filed under: Marmota monax (woodchuck)
Lineage: Eukaryota; Metazoa; Chordata; Mammalia; Rodentia; Sciuridae
Description: tRNA.Ala
Source: RNAcentral
GGGGAUGUGGCUCAGUGGUACAGCACUUACCUAGCAUGCAUGGGGUACUGGGUUUGAUCCCUAGCACCACA